AGAGUUUGAUUAUGGCUCAGGAUGAACGCUGGCGGCGUGCCUAACACAUGCAAGUCGAACGAAGCAUACGGACUGGAGAUUCGUCGAAGGACCGUAUGACUUAGUGGCGGACGGGUGAGUAAUGUAUGAGCAACCUGCCUUUCAGAGGGGGACAACAGUUGGAAACGACUGCUAAUACCGCGUAACGUAUCGUGGGGGCAUCCUCGUGAUACCAAAGGAGCAAUCCGCUGAAAGAUGGGCUCAUAUCUGAUUAGCUUGUUGGCGGGGUAACGGCCCACCAAGGCGACGAUCAGUAGCCGGACUGAGAGGUUGAACGGCCACAUUGGGACUGAGAUACGGCCCAGACUCCUACGGGAGGCAGCAGUGGGGAAUAUUGGGCAAUGGGCGAAAGCCCUGACCCAGCAACGCCGCGUGAAGGAAGAAGGUCUUCGGAUUGUAAACUUCUUUAUGAGGGACGAAGGACGUGACGGUACCUCAUGAAUAAGCCACGGCUAACUACGUGCCAGCCGCCGC
RNAcentral lists this ribosomal RNA (513 nucleotides) under uncultured bacterium. RNAcentral describes it as "bacterial SSU rRNA". It matches the Rfam family "Bacterial small subunit ribosomal RNA", at positions 8 to 518 of the family's 1533-position model. The record is from RNAcentral.